Molecule: long non-coding RNA, 250 nt
Filed under: Homo sapiens (human)
Lineage: Eukaryota; Metazoa; Chordata; Mammalia; Primates; Hominidae
Description: HSALNT0201620
Source: RNAcentral
CUGGAAUAGAUGCUUGAUGUUGUUCAGCCUAAUUGUAAGGUCUUACCUCCUAUGUCCUGGAGUGCUGACUUCUGAUUAUGAGACCUUACCCAAGAAGCAUACUACUGAGAAAUAUAUUUUCCUCGGCGGUCUGUGUGAUCUAUCCUAACUCACAGUGAGCUGAGGAUGAGAAGUGGGCAUUUGGGAAAGGAGAACAGUGCUCUUGCCCUGAUCUGUUGCUUUUGUUGCUGUGACUUGGCAGCUAGUGUCC